UUUUAUGGAGAGUUUGAUCCUGGCUCAGGAUGAACGCUGGCGGCGUGCCUAAUACAUGCAAGUCGAGCGAACGGACGAGAAGCUUGCUUCUCUGAUGUUAGCGGCGGACGGGUGAGUAACACGUGGAUAACCUACCUAUAAGACUGGGAUAACUUCGGGAAACCGGAGCUAAUACCGGAUAAUAUUUUGAACCGCAUGGUUCAAAAGUAAAAGACGGUCUUGCUGUCACUUAUAGAUGGAUCCGCGCUGCAUUAGCUAGUUGGUAAGGUAACGGCUUACCAAGGCAACGAUGCAUAGCCGACCUGAGAGGGUGAUCGGCCACACUGGAACUGAGACACGGUCCAGACUCCUACGGGAGGCAGCAGUAGGGAAUCUUCCGCAAUGGGCGAAAGCCUGACGGAGCAACGCCGCGUGAGUGAUGAAGGUCUUCGGAUCGUAAAACUCUGUUAUUAGGGAAGAACAUAUGUGUAAGUAACUGUGCACAUCUUGACGGUACCUAAUCAGAAAGCCACGGCUAACUACGUGCCAGC
This 530-nucleotide ribosomal RNA is filed under the name Staphylococcus aureus. Its description in RNAcentral is "bacterial SSU rRNA". It matches the Rfam family "Bacterial small subunit ribosomal RNA", at positions 1 to 512 of the family's 1533-position model. Lineage: Bacteria; Bacillati; Bacillota; Bacilli; Caryophanales; Staphylococcaceae. The record is from RNAcentral.